CAGUCGCCGCGGGAAUACGUAAGUGGCAAGCGCUGUCCGGAAUUAUUGGGCGUAAAGGGCUCGCAGGCGGUUUCUUAAGUCUGAUGUGAAAGCCCCCGGCUCAACCGGGGAGGGUCAUUGGAAACUGGGAAACUUGAGUGCAGAAGAGGAGAGUGGAAUUCCACGUGUAGCGGUGAAAUGCGUAGAGAUGUGGAGGAACACCAGUGGCGAAGGCGACUCUCUGGUCUGUAACUGACGCUGAGGAGCGAAAGCGUGGGGAGCGAACAGGAUUAGAGACCCCUGUAGUCCCUGUCUCUUAUAC
RNAcentral lists this ribosomal RNA (301 nucleotides) under uncultured bacterium. RNAcentral describes it as "partial 16S ribosomal RNA". It matches the Rfam family "Bacterial small subunit ribosomal RNA", at positions 509 to 807 of the family's 1533-position model. The record is from RNAcentral.